This is a long non-coding RNA of Strongylocentrotus purpuratus (purple sea urchin), 131 nucleotides long. RefSeq lists it as uncharacterized. Lineage: Eukaryota; Metazoa; Echinodermata; Echinoidea; Camarodonta; Strongylocentrotidae. The transcript is spliced from 3 exons. The record is from RefSeq and is a predicted model, not a curated record.
GACUAUGGGUUUGCUGUGUGCAAAAUUGUACCCCCAUUAAUGGUAUUUCCACCAAGUCUGGUGUCAGCGAAUUAUGGCCUUCUGCACAUGGAAACUGGCGAUCCACUCCCUUUAAAGCAAACAAACCAAUU